Molecule: long non-coding RNA, 1890 nt
Organism: Acanthopagrus latus (yellowfin seabream)
Lineage: Eukaryota; Metazoa; Chordata; Actinopteri; Spariformes; Sparidae
Exons: 2
Source: RefSeq, a predicted model, not a curated record
UCUCUCUCUCAUCAUCAUCAACAUCAUCAUCAACAACUCCACCAUCGUCCUCCUCCUCAUCCUCCUCCAGCCUCCACCGACAUGUCUCAGCUCCUCAUCCCUCCAGCUGUGCUCAUGUGUCUGGGUGUGCUGGUGGAGGCGCAGCUGGAGGACUCCACCCUGACGGACCGAGCCUAUGUGGUGCUGGAGAAGCAGAACCUGGUCACGCUGGGCAGCGUCCUCGGGGUGCUGCUGUUGCUGAUGAUCAUCAUGGCUGUGUGCGUCUACAAACCGCUGUCCCGUCGGUGAAGCUGUCCCGGAAGGAGAAGGAGACAAAGACCAAGGAGGACGAGCGACCCCCCCUGCAGAGAGGAGAACCAGCACCGAGGACCCCAGACCCGGAGCGACCUCCACCUCCUGACGGGGGCCCGCAGGGGGGCCAGAGGGGCUCUGCCUCCAACAGGCUGAACACUGACUGUGCAAAUAUUUAUGAACUUUUAUCUGCCCUUUAAUAGGGAUUGUACGUCUCCAUCACUAAGACAUGUCCUUACAUGUACACGCACAAUUUUAUUUAAUUAAAAUAACAUUAGAUUGAUCAGAAAUACAGUCUGGACGUUAUUAAUGUGGUACAUGACAGUUUUUAGGUUGAGAUGGCUGACAGAUGUGUAUCACUCCUGUGGGCCAGAGGCUCAUUAUCAGUGUCGUAUCAGGUCCGACCCAGAAGGUAUCAUCCUAAAAUAUCACAUUAGUGAGUGAAAAUCACCUGUACAUAAAGUAAAAGUAUCAAAGUAACUGAUGUUAAGUGUACUUGUGUUUCAAAAUGAAUUAUCUCUCAGUUUACAGAAGGGAUGUCGAUUUGUUUUGUUGAAAGAAUCCAGCCUACCUGUUCAGGUGCCUCACCUGAUCGUUUGGAGGUCCGCAGGUUCUUUAGAGGCUUCUGGAGAUAAAAUGUCCAAAUGUGGACGGUUUGGUUGAGCGUCAUCACGUCUCUGCAGGCCCAGACGGUGCUUCUGUCCUUCAUAUCAACUGUUCACUUCACCAACAACUCAACUGUGCAGAUCACACACAGCUGGACAUCAUUCAUACAUACAGCACUAGUAACAGUCAUGUUUAGUUCCCAUGGUGCCGAGAAAUGUUCCCUUUGUUGUACCUGAUUACUAAAAAACUCAACUUACUACUCAUGUAUCUCUAGUCGACUGAUUUUACGGUGAAUCCAAGGAGUUUCUUCACUUAGUGUAGCCUACUCAGCUAAUUAAAGAAGCACUGGAAAAACGUGACAGCUCGAUGUUGGUGAGUACAGAUGUCAGGACUAGUUUAAAAAAAAAAAAAGGCUUAUUUGACCUGACAGCGUAGGGAGACACACCAUCUAUCCAACUCUUUACAUGAUGAACAAACAUUUUUUAAAUCAGCCGUUUCUUUUCUGCAAAUAAAACUCAUGAACAAAGUCACGUUUAAUCCUCAUGGAAAUAAAGUGCUUUUAUUUUAGAAACAACAUUUCGAAACCGACACAUUUUCUUAAAAUUUAAAUGUAUUAAAAAAAAACAAAAAAAAAAAAGAAAAAAGAAAACACAACCUUUGCAGCUGGAACUGUGCAUUACAAAGAUCUGCUUUAAAUUACCCAAAGCUAGCCUUUUUUUUUUAUUUUUUUUUUUUAAUUUAUUUGUUAUUUAAAAGUCGACAGUUCCGUCAGUUUGGAAACUUGAUCGUCAUGAUUAGUAGAUUUAUUUCAGCUGAAGCCCGUGAAAGUCAGACAGCGGCGACGCAGAGAGACGUUUGCUCAGUGGUUGGUUGUCAGUGAAGUCAAGUUAUAGUGGUUAACGCGUUUAACUCAGCAACACCCAAGCACAACUUUAAUGUCAACAGCUCAUUAUCUUGUUUUAAAGUUACAAAAUGUAAAAAAAAAAAAAAAAA